Molecule: ribosomal RNA, 301 nt
Filed under: uncultured bacterium
Lineage: Bacteria
Description: partial 16S ribosomal RNA
Rfam family: Bacterial small subunit ribosomal RNA
Source: RNAcentral
CAGUAGCCGCGGGAAUACGUAGGGGGCGAGCGUUGUCCGAAGUUACUGGGCGUAAAGCGCGCGUAGGCGGCUUCUUAAGUCUGAGGUGAAAGGUUCAACGCUUAACGUGAACAGUGCCUUGGAUACUGGGGAGCUUGAGUAUGGGAGAGGGCAGUGGAAUGGCUGGUGUAGCGGUGGAAUGCGUAGAUAUCAGUCGGAACACCCAUGGCGAAGGCAGCUGCCUGGCCUAAUACUGACGCUGAGGUGCGAAAGCGUGGGGAGCGAACGGGAUUAGAUACCCCAGUAGUCCCUGUCUCUUAUA